Molecule: long non-coding RNA, 632 nt
Organism: Melopsittacus undulatus (budgerigar)
Lineage: Eukaryota; Metazoa; Chordata; Aves; Psittaciformes; Psittaculidae
Exons: 4
Source: RefSeq, a predicted model, not a curated record
CUUCCUGAGUCGUAUACCCUUGUGCUAUAGGGUAUAUGACUCAGGAAUAUGGCAGAAUUGUUGCAUCAUUUCUGAUUUGCCUUGGAUUUUCUUUCUGUUCCCCUUGAGGAACAAUGAGGUCUUUCAAUCUUGGAAGAAAUUUAGGAAUUUCAAGUCCCUGCAAAGAAACAUGCUUGUUCUCUGUGUAGCUGAAAGAAGGCAGAACUUACUUAAAAGGCCUAUCACCUUAAAAUAGGGGACCUUUCUCUGGCCUGUGUGAGAGUAGCACUUUCUUAAUUGCAUUUAAAUAACUAUGUAGCAUGAUCGAAGUAUACUUUCACCAAAUCUGUUUCACUAAAAGUAUUUUUCAUGCUCUGCAGUAACUGAAGUGCUGCAGUUGAGUGAUGCUCUUCGAGAUGACAUCCUUCCUGAACUUGGUGUUCGAUUUGAAGAUCAUGAAGGACUUCCAACUGUGGUUAAAUUAGUGGAUAAAGACACGUUAUUGAAAGAACGAGAAGAAAAGAAAAAGGUUGAAGAAGAGAAAAAAAGGAAGAAAGAAGAAGCGGCCAGGAAAAAACAACAGCAGGAAGCAGCAAAACUGGAAAAAAUGAAGAUUCCACCACAUGAAAUGUUCAAAUCAGAACAUGACAAAU